UACGUAGGGUCCAAGCGUUAAUCGGAAUUACUGGGCGUAAAGCGUGCGCAGGCGGUUUGCUAAGACAGGUGUGAAAUCCCCGGGCUUAACCUGGGAACUGCGCUUGUAACUGGCAAGCUAGAGUGUGGCAGAGGGGGGUGGAAUUCCACGUGUAGCAGUGAAAUGCGUAGAGAUGUGGAGGAACACCGAUGGCGAAGGCAGCCCCCUGGGCUAACACUGACGCUCAUGCACGAAAGCGUGGGGAGCAAACAGG
RNAcentral lists this ribosomal RNA (253 nucleotides) under uncultured bacterium. RNAcentral's name for it is "partial 16S ribosomal RNA". It matches the Rfam family "Bacterial small subunit ribosomal RNA", at positions 524 to 776 of the family's 1533-position model. The record is from RNAcentral.